AAUAGAUACCCAGGUAGUCCACGCCGUAAACGAUGAGUGCUAAGUGUUAGGGGGUUUCCGCCCCUUAGUGCUGCAGCUAACGCAUUAAGCACUCCGCCUGGGGAGUACGGUCGCAAGACUGAAACUCAAAGGAAUUGACGGGGGCCCGCACAAGCGGUGGAGCAUGUGGUUUAAUUCGAAGCAACGCGAAGAACCUUACCAGGUCUUGACAUCCCAUUGGCCACUAUGGAGACAUAGUUUUCCCUUCGGGGACAACGGUGACAGGUGGUGCAUGGUUGUCGUCAGCUCGUGUCGUGAGAUGUUGGGUUAAGUCCCGCAACGAGCGCAACCCUUGUUCUUAGUUGCCAUCAUUUAGUUGGGCACUCUAAGGAGACUGCCGGUGACAAACCGGAGGAAGGUGGGGAUGACGUCAAAUCAUCAUGCCCCUUAUGACCUGGGCUACACACGUGCUACAAUGGACGGUACAAACGGUUGCCAACCCGCGAGGGGGAGCUAAUCCGAUAAAACCGUUCUCAGUUCGGAUUGUAGGCUGCAACUCGCCUACA
RNAcentral lists this ribosomal RNA (545 nucleotides) under uncultured bacterium. RNAcentral's name for it is "bacterial SSU rRNA". It matches the Rfam family "Bacterial small subunit ribosomal RNA", at positions 777 to 1320 of the family's 1533-position model. The record is from RNAcentral.